GACGAACGCUGGCGGCGUGCUUAACACAUGCAAGUCGAACGGAAAGGCCCUGCUUUUGUGGGGUGCUCGAGUGGCGAACGGGUGAGUAACACGUGAGUAACCUGCCCUUGACUUUGGGAUAACUUCAGGAAACAGGGGCUAAUACCCGAUAGGAGCUCCUGCUGCGUGGUGGGGGUUGGAAAGUUUCGGCGGUUGGGGAUGGACUCGCGGCUUAUCAGCUUGUUGGUGGGGUAGUGGCUUACCAAGGCUUUGACGGGUAGCCGGCCUGAGAGGGUGACCGGCCACAUUGGGACUGAGAUACGGCCCAGACUCCUACGGGAGGCAGCAGUGGGGAAUAUUGCACAAUGGGCGGAAGCCUGAUGCAGCAACGCCGCGUGCGGGAUGACGGCCUUCGGGUUGUAAACCGCUUUCGCCUGUGACGAAGCGUGAGUGACGGUAAUGGGUAAAGAAGCACCGGCUAACUACGUG
Molecule: ribosomal RNA, 468 nt
Filed under: uncultured bacterium
Lineage: Bacteria
Description: partial 16S ribosomal RNA
Rfam family: Bacterial small subunit ribosomal RNA
Source: RNAcentral